UAAUACGGGAGUGGCAAGCGUUAUCCGGAAUUAUUGGGCGUAAAGCGUCCGCAGGCGGCCCUUCAAGUCUGCUGUUAAAACGUGGAGCUUAACUCCAUCAUGGCAGUGGAAACUGUUGGGCUUGAGUGUGGUAGGGGCAGAGGGAAUUCCCGGUGUAGCGGUGAAAUGCGUAGAUAUCGGGAAGAACACCAGUGGCGAAGGCGCUCUGCUGGGCCAUCACUGACGCUCAUGGACGAAAGCCAGGGGAGCGAAAGGGAUUAGAUACCCCUGUAGUCCUGGCCGUAAACGAUGAACACUAGGUGUCGGGGGAAUCGACCCCCUCGGUGUCGUAGCCAACGCGUUAAGUGUUCCGCCUGGGGAGUACGCACGCAAGUGUGAAACUCAAAGGAAUUGACGGGGGCCCGCACAAGCGGUGGAGUAUGUGGUUUAAUUCGAUGCAACGCGAAGAACCUUACCAGGGUUUGACAUCCUGCGAAUCUCUUGGAAACGAGAGAGUGCCUUCGGGAGCGCAGUGACAGGUGGUGCAUGGCUGUCGUCAGCUCGUGUCGUGAGAUGUUGGGUUAAGUCCCGCAACGAGCGCAACCCACGUCUUUAGUUGCCAGCAUUUAGUUGGGCACUCUAGAGAGACCGCCGGUGAUAAACCGGAGGAAGGUGUGGAUGACGUCAAGUCAUCAUGCCCCUUACAUCCUGGGCUACACACGUACUACAAUGCUACGGACAAAGAGCAGCAAGUUCGCGAGGACAAGCAAAUCUCAUAAACCGUGGCUCAGUUCAGAUCGUAGGCUGCAACUCGCCUACGUGAAGGAGGAAUCGCUAGUAAUCGCAGGUCAGCAUACUGCGGUGAAUACGUUCCCGGGCCUUGUACACACCGCCCGUCACACCAUGGAAGUUGGCCACGCCCGAAGCCGUUACUCCAACCCUUGUGGAGGAGGGCGUCGAAGGUGGGGCUGAUGACUGGGGUGAAGUCGUAACAAGGUAGCCG
RNAcentral lists this ribosomal RNA (982 nucleotides) under uncultured bacterium. Its description in RNAcentral is "bacterial SSU rRNA". It matches the Rfam family "Bacterial small subunit ribosomal RNA", at positions 521 to 1502 of the family's 1533-position model. The record is from RNAcentral.